GACGAACGCUGGCGGCGUGCUUAACACAUGCAAGUCGAACGGAAAGGCCCUGCUUUUGUGGGGUGCUCGAGUGGCGAACGGGUGAGUAACACGUGAGUAACCUGCCCUUGACUUUGGGAUAACUUCAGGAAACUGGGGCUGAUACCGGAUAGGAGCUCCUGCUGCAUGGUGGGGGUUGGAAAGUUUCGGCGGUUGGGGAUGGACUCGCGGCUUAUCAGCUUGUUGGUGGGGUAGUGGCUUACCAAGGCUUUGACGGGUAGCCGGCCUGAGAGGGUGACCGGCCACAUUGGGACUGAGAUACGGACCAGACUCCUACGGGAGGCAGCAGGGGGGAAUAUUGCACGAUGGGCGGAAGCCUGAUGCAGCAACGCCGCGUGCAGGAUGACGGCCUUCGGGUUGUAAACCGCUUUCGCCUGUGACGAAGCGUGAGUGACGGUAAUGGGUAAAGAAGCACCGGCUAACUACGUG
Molecule: ribosomal RNA, 468 nt
Filed under: uncultured bacterium
Lineage: Bacteria
Description: partial 16S ribosomal RNA
Rfam family: Bacterial small subunit ribosomal RNA
Source: RNAcentral